Molecule: ribosomal RNA, 372 nt
Filed under: uncultured bacterium
Lineage: Bacteria
Description: bacterial SSU rRNA
Rfam family: Bacterial small subunit ribosomal RNA
Source: RNAcentral
UACGUAGGGUGCAAGCGUUGUCCGGAAUUACUGGGUGUAAAGGGUGCGUAGGCGGAACUGCGCGUCGAAGGUUAAAGACCUCGGCUCAACCGAGGAAGUGCCUUCGAUACGGCAGUUCUAGAGUAUAGGAGAGGAUGAUAGAAUUCCUGGUGUAGCGGUGAAAUGCGUAGAUAUCAGGAGGAAUACCAGUGGCGAAGGCGGUCAUCUGGCCUAUUACUGACGCUCAGGCACGAAAGCGUGGGGAUCAAACAGGAUUAGAUACCCUGGUAGUCCACGCCCUAAACGAUGUAUGCUUGGUGUUGUGUCGCAAGACUCAGUGCCGAAGGAAACCCGAUAAGCAUACCACCUGGGGAGUACGAUCGCAAGGUUGAA